UAACAAUGAUUCCCUCAGUAACGGCGAGUGAACAGGGAAAAGCUCACAGUUGGAACCUAGCUGCCUUAGGUAGUUCGGAUUGUAAACUGAAAAAGUGUUAUCCAGGCUAGCCGAGUAAAAAAGUUUCUUGGAAUAGAACAUCAUGGAGGGUGAGAAUCCCGUCUUUGGCUUGAGCAUAGUCUUUUGUGUUGCACUUUAACGAGUCAGGUUGUUUGGGAAUGCAGCCUAAAGUGGGAGGUAAAUCCCUCCUAAAGCUAAAUAUUGGCGAGAGACCGAUAGCAAACAAGUACCGUGAGGGAAAGAUGAAAAGAACUUUGAAAAGAGAGUUAAACAGUAUGUGAAAUUGCUAAAAGGGAAGCGUUUGAAGACAGACUAGCUUGGUUAUAAUCAGCCUGGUUUUUUUACUUGGUGUACUUGUGACCUAUGCUUGCCAACAGCAGUUUGGCCUGACUGAAAAAACUGAUAGUAAGGUAGCUCCCUUCGGGGAGUGUUAUAGACUGUUAGAAAAUAAGUUGGACUGGACUGAGGAAUGCAAUGCAGCUUGCCUUAGGGUGAACCAGAUUGAAUGGGAACCAUUGUUCCCUGAAGGUUUGGGUAGCUUUUUGAACUGUAUUUAGGUUGUUGGCUUAAUGUCUUUAAACGGC
This 644-nucleotide ribosomal RNA is filed under the name Absidia idahoensis. RNAcentral describes it as "eukaryotic LSU rRNA". It matches the Rfam family "Eukaryotic large subunit ribosomal RNA", at positions 66 to 648 of the family's 3401-position model. The record is from RNAcentral. Lineage: Eukaryota; Fungi; Mucoromycota; Mucoromycetes; Mucorales; Cunninghamellaceae.